UACGUAGGGGGCAAGCGUUGUCCGGAUUUAUUGGGCGUAAAGAGCGUGUAGGCGGCCAGACAGGUCAGCUGUGAAAACUCGAGGCUCAACCUCGAGACGUCGGUUGAAACCGUCUGGCUAGAGUCCGGAAGAGGAGAGUGGAAUUCCGGGUGUAGCGGUGGAAUGCGUAGAGAUCCGGAAGAACACCGGUGGCGAAGGCGGUCUGCUGGGCCAAGACUGACGCUGAGGCGCGACAGCGUGGGGAGCAAACAGG
Molecule: ribosomal RNA, 253 nt
Filed under: uncultured bacterium
Lineage: Bacteria
Description: partial 16S ribosomal RNA
Rfam family: Bacterial small subunit ribosomal RNA
Source: RNAcentral